GACCAGCCUAAUAUUCAAAACCAGAGGUUGUUAGGUCGAGGGAAGAACAGGCACACUGCCCUACCAGGCACUGGGCACACACACGGUCUCACCCAUAGUGGCCUCCAAAGAAAGGGAAAAGGGUGACAAGACCCUUCUGCCAUGUUCUUCAUACCUGGGGUAUAUUUUAUGGGACAGUAGCUCUAUGCCCAUUUUUCUUCUCAAGUAACAUCAUUUCAUGGUCACACCAAAGAUUAUCCAUAGCAUUCCAAGGAAAUCAAGUGCCUUGUUUUUCUGUCAUAAAUGGAGAAAGCUUAAAAAAAAAAGUGAACAAUAGUAAAUAUAGUGAUAUAACUAAUAAACUGUGGGUCUUCUCCACUUCA
Leopardus geoffroyi (Geoffroy's cat) is the source of this 362-nucleotide long non-coding RNA. RefSeq lists it as uncharacterized. The transcript has 2 exons. The record is from RefSeq and is a predicted model, not a curated record. Lineage: Eukaryota; Metazoa; Chordata; Mammalia; Carnivora; Felidae.